CGUGUAGGCGGUUUUUUUAAGUCUGAUGUGAAAGCCCUGGGCUCAACCUGGGAAGUGCAUUGGAUACUGGAAGACUUGAAUACGGGAGAGGGCAGUGGAAUUCCUGGUGUAGGAGUGAAAUCCGUAGAUAUCAGGAGGAACACCGGUGGCGAAGGCGGCUGCCUGGACCGAUAUUGACGCUGAGACGCGAAAGCGUGGGUAGCAAACA
This 208-nucleotide ribosomal RNA is filed under the name uncultured delta proteobacterium. RNAcentral's name for it is "partial 16S ribosomal RNA". It matches the Rfam family "Bacterial small subunit ribosomal RNA", at positions 568 to 774 of the family's 1533-position model. The record is from RNAcentral. Lineage: Bacteria; Deltaproteobacteria.